ACACGGGAAAGGAGGUGAUCCGAUCAGAUGAAGAACGAUUGGAUGCGUGAGGUGGCUGCUCGCUAGCAGCUUCCCCAACUAUGGAUGGGGGCUGGCAAUUCACAAGCAGCCACCCGACCCGCAGGCGUACCGGACUCAUCCCCCCGGGUUGGCCUCUUGGCCCGUCUGCGGGUCGCCCCGU
This 181-nucleotide small RNA is filed under the name Nocardioides panzhihuensis. Its description in RNAcentral is "sRNA Ms_IGR-5". It matches the Rfam family "Actinobacteria sRNA Ms_IGR-5". The record is from RNAcentral. Lineage: Bacteria; Bacillati; Actinomycetota; Actinomycetes; Propionibacteriales; Nocardioidaceae.